AGCGAACGCUGGCGGCAGGCCUAACACAUGCAAGUCGAACGAAGUCUUCGGACUUAGUGGCGGACGGGUGAGUAACACGUGGGAACGUGCCUUUAGGUUCGGAAUAACUCAGGGAAACUUGUGCUAAUACCGAAUGUGCCCUUCGGGGGAAAGAUUUAUCGCCUUUAGAGCGGCCCGCGUCUGAUUAGCUAGUUGGUGAGGUAAAGGCUCACCAAGGCGACGAUCAGUAGCUGGUCUGAGAGGAUGAUCAGCCACAUUGGGACUGAGACACGGCCCAAACUCCUGCGGGAGGCGGCAGUGGGGAAUCUUGCGCGAUGGGCGAAAGCCUGACGCAGCCAUGCCGCGUGAAUGAUGAAGGUCUUAGGAUUGUAAAAUUCUUUCACCGGGGACGAUAAUGACGGUACCCGGAGAAGAAGCCCCGGCUAACUUCGUGCCAGCAGCCGCCGUAA
RNAcentral lists this ribosomal RNA (449 nucleotides) under uncultured bacterium. Its description in RNAcentral is "partial 16S ribosomal RNA". It matches the Rfam family "Bacterial small subunit ribosomal RNA", at positions 29 to 523 of the family's 1533-position model. The record is from RNAcentral.